Molecule: ribosomal RNA, 325 nt
Filed under: uncultured eukaryote
Lineage: Eukaryota
Description: partial 18S ribosomal RNA
Rfam family: Eukaryotic small subunit ribosomal RNA
Source: RNAcentral
CCCUUAGAUGUUCUGGGCUGCACGCGCGCUACACUGGUGCGUUCAGCGAGUUUAGCACCUUAACAGAUAUGUUUGGGUAAUCUUCUGAAAACGCACCGUGAUGGGGAUCGAUUAUUGUAAUUAUUAAUCGUCAACGAGGAACUCCUAGUAAGUGUGAAUCAUCAGUUCGCGCUGAUUACGUCCCUGCCCUUUGUACACACCGCCCGCCGCUGCUACCGAUUGAGUGGUCCGGUGAAUUAUUCGGACCGGUGGACUGUGGGGAAACCCGCGGCCUGCUGGGAAGUCUUGUGAACCUUAUCACUUAGAGGAAGCAGAAGUCGUAACA